AUGGAGGCGACGGCGGUGAGCGUGGGGAAGGCCGUGCUCGAUGGCGCGCUCAGCUACGCCGGCUCCAAGGCGGCGGAGGAAAUCGGGCUGGAGCUUGGCAUUGGGUCUGAUGUGGACUUCAUCAGAGAUGAGCUGCAGAUGAUGCAGUCGUUCCUGAUGACGGCUGAUGAGGAGCAGAGCCAGAACAAGGUGCUCGCAACCUGGGUGAAACAGAUCGGGGUCCUGGCCUACAAGGUGGAGGACAGCCUCAUGGAUUUCGGCCUCCACUCCGAGAAAAAGCCAUUCUUGGGGUGCAUCCCUCGCAACCCAGGUGAUCGACGCCGCAUCGCUAAGGAAGUGAAGCAGCUGAGGACCGAGGUGGAGGACGUGAGCAAUAGGAACCUGCGCUAUCGCCUCAUCAAGGAGAGCUCAGCCUCCAAGCCUACGGCGGCAGAGGAGCAGGCCAGCAUUGCCGCUGCGGCAAUGUUUACCGCUGUGGAACAAGACUCGUCAUCAAAGGUGAACCUCCACCAGCUGGUUACCAGCAAUGAUGUGAACCUUAGGGUGAUCUCCAUGUGGGGAACUAGUGGUGAUCUCGGAAAGACAUCUGCCAUCCAGGAGGUUUAUGAUGACCCAAAGGUAUUGAAAAGGUUUAGAUUUCGUGCUUGGAUUAGGUUGAUGCAUCCUUUCAAUCCACAAGAGUUCCUCCGGUGCUUGGUAAGGCAAUUUUAUGAAAAUUCCCGUGAUGAGGUUGGGAAGCCAUCUUUCAGUCCACAAGAGUUCCUCCAGAGCUUGGUAAGGCAAUUUUAUGAAAAUUCCCAUGAUGAGGUUGGAAAGCCAGAACAAGAAACAAGUGGUGGGGCCGUUCUGGCCAAGAUGGAGAAGAUGGAUCAAAGUGAUUUAGUCCCUGUGUUUAAUGCACAGUUGCGUAGUAAUAGCUAUCUGGUUGUAAUUGAUGACCUAUCAACAAUAGUGGAGUGGCAUUGCGUUAAGAAGUACUUUCCCGACAACAAGAAAGGUAGAAUCGUUGUUUCCACGCAGCUAGCUGAAAUCGCAAGCUUGUGCACAGAGAAACCAUACCAAGUUUCGGAGUUGAAGCAGUUGUCAUGUGAUCAGACAAUCUAUUUGUUCCACAAGAAGAAUUCAGAACAACAGAUCAUCUUGGAAGGUGGUCGUGUGGCAAUAUAUGACACCAAUGACAAAGCAAAGGUUACUGCAGUGGAGGAGAAACUGAAGGCUAUGCAUGCAUCAUGUUCUGCCGAGCCCGUUUCCGCCUCAAGCAAAGUUACUACUACCGAGAAAAAUACAUCAAUGCCCACUGGUGAAAUACAGGAGGAAUACCAAGAACCUAAUAACUCCGGUGAAGAAAAAAUUCAUAACUCAACUGCUAGAAAGAAGUUUGAUCGCAGCAGGACACUGGCACUGGCUGAUGAAAUGCCCUGUGGGCGAGAAACAGAGAAAUCUUUUGUUAUCAAGUUAGUUGGCCAACCAGACCACAAUCAAGGCCGUAAAGUGAUCUCAGUUUGGGGAAUGGGGGGUCUUGGUAAAACCACUCUUGUUCGAAGCAUCUACCGAAGCAAGCAGCUUGAUGGCUGGAAGCGUGCUUGGGCCACUGCACUGCGUCCUUUUAACCCUGAAGUACUACUUCGAGAUUUGGCAUUGCAGCUCAGAAUACUAUUCAAGAAGAUCCUGCCGGAGCAACAACAACUAGAGUGCAAAAGAAAUUAA
This 1707-nucleotide ribosomal RNA is filed under the name Triticum aestivum (bread wheat). Its description in RNAcentral is "partial small subunit ribosomal RNA". Lineage: Eukaryota; Viridiplantae; Streptophyta; Magnoliopsida; Poales; Poaceae. The record is from RNAcentral.